This 333-nucleotide ribosomal RNA is filed under the name Triticum aestivum (bread wheat). RNAcentral's name for it is "partial small subunit ribosomal RNA". Lineage: Eukaryota; Viridiplantae; Streptophyta; Magnoliopsida; Poales; Poaceae. The record is from RNAcentral.
AUGGAGCUCAGCGACAGCGAGCUGGCGGGGGUGAAGAGCUACAGAGAGUACUUGGCCUGUGAUUUGUUGAGAUACUUGCAAGAUACUCUUCCCAGGAGAUCCAUGCAGAUCUUCUCCAUCAAAGUCACCGACCUAAGAUAUGGUCUCAUCUGGCCACUGCAGAUUUAUGGCUCUGUUGCUUUCAGGAACUCAAUAGGACAUAAAGCCAACUAUCUCUUCAGAUGCACCAGGGAUAGCUUCCAAACCAUCACUCAGAAGGAUCCAUUUUUGCGCUUAACAGGCCCGUCUCAAGCAUUUGGUUACUUGGCAGGGUUUUCAUUGAUGUUCAGUUAA